This 31-nucleotide non-coding RNA is filed under the name Mus musculus (house mouse). The record is from RNAcentral. Lineage: Eukaryota; Metazoa; Chordata; Mammalia; Rodentia; Muridae.
UGCCUACACUAACACUCAGCAACAUUUGCAA